UACGGAGGGAGCUAGCGUUGUUCGGAAUUACUGGGCGUAAAGCGCGCGUAGGCGGCUUUGUAAGUUAGAGGUGAAAGCCCGGGGCUCAACCCCGGAAUUGCCUUUAAGACUGCAUCGCUUGAAUCCGGGAGAGGUGAGUGGAAUUCCGAGUGUAGAGGUGAAAUUCGUAGAUAUCGGGAGGAACACCAAUGGCGAAGGCAGCUCGCUGGUACGUGACUGACGCUGAGACGCGAAAGCGUGGGGAGCAAACAGG
Molecule: ribosomal RNA, 253 nt
Filed under: uncultured bacterium
Lineage: Bacteria
Description: partial 16S ribosomal RNA
Rfam family: Bacterial small subunit ribosomal RNA
Source: RNAcentral